CAGACGGGAGGCAGCAGGGAGGAAUAUGGGGCAAUGGAAGAGAGGAGGAACAAGAAAAGGAGAGGGAAGGAGGACGGCCCGAGGGGGGGUAAACUUCUUUUAUAAAGGAAUAAAACGAGGCACGUGUGCCUUUUUGCAUGUACUUUAUGAAUAAGGAUCGGCUAACUCCGUGCCAGCAGCCGCGGUAAUACGGAGGAUCCGAGCGUUAUCCGGAUUUAUUGGGUUUAAAGGGAGCGUAGAUGGGUUGUUAAGUCAGUUGUGAAAGUUUGCGGCUCAACCGUAAAAUUGCAAUUGAUACUGGCAGUCUUGAGUACAGUUGAGGUAGGCGGAAUUCGUGGUGUAGCGGUGAAAUGCUUAGAUAUCACGAAGAACCCCGAUUGCGAAGGCAGCUUACUAAACUGUGACUGACAUUGAUGCUCGAAAGUGUGGGUAUCAAACAGGAUUAGAUACCCCUGUAGUC
This 460-nucleotide ribosomal RNA is filed under the name uncultured bacterium. Its description in RNAcentral is "partial 16S ribosomal RNA". It matches the Rfam family "Bacterial small subunit ribosomal RNA", at positions 338 to 795 of the family's 1533-position model. The record is from RNAcentral.